UGUCUCUAGUUGUGGGGAGGGAGACUCCUUGGUGACGCAGCUACGCGUGAAGUAGACCGCCUGGGGAGUAGGUCGCAAGAUAAAACUCAAAGGAAUUGACGGGGGCCCGCACAAGCGGUGGAUUAUGUGGAUUAAUUCGAUGCAACGCGAAAAACCUUACCUGGCCUUGACAUGCCACUAACGAAGCAGAGAUGCAUCAGGUGCUCGAAAGAGAAAGUGGACACAGGUGCUGCAUGGCUGUCGUCAGCUCGUG
Molecule: ribosomal RNA, 253 nt
Filed under: uncultured Chitinivorax sp.
Lineage: Bacteria; Pseudomonadati; Pseudomonadota; Betaproteobacteria
Description: partial 16S ribosomal RNA
Rfam family: Bacterial small subunit ribosomal RNA
Source: RNAcentral